RNAcentral lists this long non-coding RNA (823 nucleotides) under Heterocephalus glaber (naked mole-rat). Its description in RNAcentral is "lncRNA (ENSHGLG00100040204.1)". The record is from RNAcentral. Lineage: Eukaryota; Metazoa; Chordata; Mammalia; Rodentia; Bathyergidae.
CUUGAAUGAGUGAUCCUCCUGCCUCAGCCUUCCAAGUGGCUGGGAUUACAAGUAUGCACCACCACGUCCACCUAAACAAGCACAUUCUUAAUGAAGUCUCUUUUUGUACUGGGCUUAGAAGUGAUUAGUAUGAAUGUAAGCAUCCUUGAAGACUCACCUGAAGAUUUCUGAUGAUGAUAAACCCAAGAAUGACUUUUCUUUCUGCUAACAGGUUGACUCAUGCUAGCCUCGUGGUGCCAUGUUUUUGUCACUUGUGUGAAGAGGUGUUUGAGGGAAGCCAUGAUGAGGCAUUCACUCUGUCCUCCUGCCCUGCAAACCAUCCUUUUGGUGAUUGACAGCUAUCAGGAGCUGGAUUUAUGAGUUCUAUGGCCCUGAGAGGACAAACCUCUGAAAAGUGAUGUCACCCGUGAACCUAUAAGCCAAGAACAAGAGUGAUAAUAAUGCAAAUGGUGAUGAUGACAGUUUCCAUUGUGAGCCACCUACUGGGUGCCAGGCUCUGACAAAGCUUGGCGUGGCACUGCCAUAGGCCCUUCUGGAGGAAACUGCUAGCAGACAAACUUGUCAGUCAAGAUGUGACAUGGGUGACACUAGCAGAGGGGCUGCAUGUGAGUACUGGGUAUAUUUAACAGUAUAAUUAAGACAAACAUGGAGUUAGGAUGACAGAAAAAAUGUAAAAAUAUUCCUAUUAUAGUUAAAUAAUUUAUUUAGGAACAGUCAGAUCAAGAAAGAAACGUGAAGUACAAUGUUGGGAUACAUCGAAAAUGUUAACCUAUAAAUACAACAUGUCAGAACAUAUGGGAUAUACAUAAAGCAAUUCUCAGAG